AUUUUCUUCUGUUUAAGCCAUUCUGUUGUUGAUUUACUUCUAUGCUUUGGGUCAUUGUCCUGUUGCAACACCCAUCUUCUGUUGAGCUUCAGCUGGUAGACAGAUGGCCUUAAGUUCUCCUGCAAAAUGUCUUGAUAAACUUGGGAAUUCAUUUUUCCUUCAAUGAUAGCAAUUCGUCCAGGCCCUGACGCAGCAAAGCAGCCCCAAACCAUGAUGCCCCCAACACCAUACUUCACAGUUGGGAUGAGGUUUUGAUGUUGGUGUGCUGUGCCUUUUUU
Pelobates cultripes (western spadefoot toad) is the source of this 278-nucleotide non-coding RNA. Lineage: Eukaryota; Metazoa; Chordata; Amphibia; Anura; Pelobatidae. The record is from the annotation of a GenBank genome assembly.